This 1126-nucleotide ribosomal RNA is filed under the name Candidatus Kuenenia stuttgartiensis enrichment culture clone CH1. RNAcentral describes it as "bacterial SSU rRNA". It matches the Rfam family "Bacterial small subunit ribosomal RNA", at positions 8 to 1080 of the family's 1533-position model. The record is from RNAcentral. Lineage: Bacteria; Pseudomonadati; Planctomycetota; Candidatus Brocadiia; Candidatus Brocadiales; Candidatus Brocadiaceae.
AGGGUAUGAUCUUGGCUCAGAACGAACGCUGGCGGCGUGGAUUAGGCAUGCAAGUCGAACGAGGAAGUGCCCCGUAAGGGGCGCAAGCCUAGUGGCGAAAGGGUGAGUAAUGCAUUGAUAACCUGCCUUUGAGAUGGGAAUAACUGCGUUUCGAGCAAUCGGAACUACCGAAAGGGCUGCUAAUACCCAAUAAUACUAUAGGUGCAAAAGCACUUGUGGUCAAAUGCUAGGAAUUCUGUUCCUUGUGCUUAAAGAGGGGUUAAUGUCCUAUCAGCUAGUUGGUGGGGUAAUGGCCUACCAAGGCAAAGACGGGUAGCCGGCUUGAGAGGGUGGUCGGCCACACUGGGACUGAGACACUGCCCAGACUCCUACGGGAGGCUGCAGUCGAGAAUCUUUCGCAAUGCCCGAAAGGGUGACGAAGCGACGCCGCGUGUGGGAAGAAGGCCUUCGGGUUGUAAACCACUGUCGGGAGUUAGGAAAUGCAGGUGCGUUAAUAGCGCACUUGCUUGACUAAGGCUCCAGAGGAAGCCACGGCUAACUCUGUGCCAGCAGCCGCGGUAAUACAGAGGCGGCAAGCGUUGUUCGGAAUUAUUGGGCGUAAAGAGCACGUAGGCGGCCUUGCAAGUCAGUUGUGAAAGCCUUCCGCUUAACGGAAGAACGGCAUCUGAUACUACAGGGCUUGAGUACGGGAGGGGAGAGUGGAACUUCUGGUGGAGCGGUGAAAUGCGUAGAUAUCAGAAGGAACGCCGGCGGCGAAAGCGACUCUCUGGUCCGAAACUGACGCUGAGUGUGCGAAAGCUAGGGGAGCAAACGGGAUUAGAUACCCCGGUAGUCCUAGCCGUAAACGAUGGGCACUAAGUAGAGGGGUUUUGAUUAUUUCUCUGCCGGAGCUAACGCAUUAAGUGCCCCGCCUGGGGAGUACGGCCGCAAGGCUAAAACUCAAAAGAAUUGACGGGGGCUCGCACAAGCGGUGGAGCAUGUGGCUUAAUUCGAUGCAACGCGAAGAACCUUACCGGGGCUUGACAUGGUAGAAGUAGAAUCCUGAAAGGGUGACGAUCGGUAUCCAGUCCGAAGCUAUCACAGGUGUUGCAUGGCUGUCGUCAGCUCGUGUCGUGAGCUGUUGGGU